Triticum aestivum (bread wheat) is the source of this 3162-nucleotide long non-coding RNA. RefSeq lists it as uncharacterized. NCBI's taxonomy places the organism in Eukaryota, Viridiplantae, Streptophyta, Magnoliopsida, Poales, Poaceae. The transcript has 8 exons. The record is from RefSeq and is a predicted model, not a curated record.
CCGCCACUCUCCUCUUUCCGCCGCCUUCACGCUCGCUUCCUCCUCCAUCCUCCCGCGUCAGUCGCACCCCCUCCUCCCCUCCCGCAUCUCGUCCACCCUGGGAUCCAGCGAGGUCGGGUCCUCGAGCCAUGGAGGCACUUGUCGCUGGGCCCUCGCCGUUGGCCUCCCGUGCGUCGCACCGCCUCCUCCCGCCUCGGCUCUCACCUCCAGCUGCAGCUCUAGAGGAGAGGAGAAGACAGUGACAGAGAGAUGGCUGCGUUGGCGCUGGCGGCCCCGCCCUCGCCUUUUCCUCCUCCUCGCCUUCCCAUCGCUCAUGCGCAAGUCGACCGACGGCAGGGAUGGUCAGGAAGGUUUCCCAGCCCGACAGUGCCGUCAUGGGAGUUGCAGGGAGGAGGUGAGGAUGCGUCGCGCGCGGAUUGGAUCGAGGGUGCCAUGCCGCCGCCACGAGUCAACUCCACUGUUGUCACCAGGAAUCCGUCCCCAGCAAGGUCUCGCUCGUUGCUACUCCUCCUACAAUCUCUCCCACAAUGGCAUACAGGAGGAGCAGAAGGGGCCAAGGAUGAGGAGGAAGGAGACUAGCAGGAGGAGGAGAUAUUCUUGUUCGAUUUGGUUCUCACGCUGGCAUCUCCCUGCUGUCUGCUUUCCUUUUAGUUUCCAACUUUGAUGCUUGGAUUUGUUGACUUGGCCAGCAGGAGUGGGAGGAGACAGGGAGGAUGAGGAAGGAGACAAGCAAGAGGAAGAGAAAAUCUUGCUCGCCUUAUGGACUCGCAAUAAACAAGUGUGUGUUGGGCUACUCAUGCCUUUUUUAAUCUCACUAACAACGGUGUUGUACUGGAUCGAAUCAGAGGAAGCUCAUUUGCCUGUAUAUACAGAGGGUCGUCUUCUCCCCCCAUCCAAUACCUGCUAAGAGUUAUGAUUUUUCUUUGCUUCCAGGUCCACAGGAAAAAUUCCUGAACGAUUUUGGUAUCCCCAGAUUUUUCUUCCCCGCGAUGAGGUUAUACUUAGCCUACCCUCUGUCCCUGUGUGUGUAGAUUUGCAGAGAUCAGCGAGGAUUUGUGCGGCAGGGAGGGCACUGGUGAUAGGAAACAUGGGUCCAAGAAGUAAUCAAAGAGCAUGAUCGUUUCAAGGUUGCUGCUGCUAAAUCAUGUAAGGAUGGCGCAAAACUCACAUGAGGGAAAAGACGAACUGCGGUAACCAAAUCAACAGCUGAUAAGGCAAUUGGUUGGGCUACAUGAUAGACACUUUAAUAUAUCUUCUUGGAAGCCGCUUAGUGUUCCAAUGAAUAAUUGUCGCUGGUGUGGUGCACGUCUUCAUUGUUUGGUGGGCUGCUUCCUGCCUGGUGUGGUUGAAGAAUUUUCAGAGGUAUGGUCCAUCUUGCGUGCGGCCUUUAGUUUGAGUUUCUGUUGACACAUUAAAUUUCCCUUUCCUGUAGACCCCUCCUUUUUCAUUUUAUUAGUUGGGUGUAAUAGCAAAUCAUCUAUAAUCAUUUUGUUUAACUACAAUCUGAUGCAAAAGAGUUAUGUUUAGCUCUCAUAGUUCAUCCUUUAUAUGCUUGCUUUCAAAACAAAGAAAUCGGUUGUCCAAGUUCUGAUCAUGCUCUGAUUGAGAUUCAGUCCUCCUUGAUCUUUUUUCUGUAUGCUUGCAUCUCCUUAGCGUCCAAGUUCUGAUCAUGCUACAAUCUUGUUUCAAAUUUAUGCUAAUAGAUGUAUGUACCAUGAUUAUUGAGGUGUAUGAAAUAAAUCUGAAGAAAAUAAGUAAGUCGCCUUCAUCAGCGAGGCUGCGAACAACUCGUGGUGCCCCUGUUAACCUCCUCAAUGUUUGCGUUGUUUGCCUGUCGGUCAAAUUCCCACUAUUCAGCAGACAGAUACAGUGUCCAGAUCGUUUAGGAACCAGCGUUACUUCAAAAAAAGAUAGGACCUGAUACACAUUACAUUCAUGGACUACUGAUAUACCUGAUGCAUUUCUUCAUGAUGGUGAUAUUCCUAAUCAUUGCUGCUGACGCUGAAAAAAUACUCCUGAAGCACUAGAAGUGCCCUAUCAAUAAUAAUAGCAGGGGUUUGAGCUUGUUUAAACUGUAGAGUACACAUGCAUGUACUAUUUCUCAGACAUCAAGAGAACAUGAGAUAAACAUGUAUGACGGUCUAACACGUGAUUACUCAGGUGUUGAUUAGGAAGCACACAUAGGUUUGGCAGAGAGGAAGUUUCAGUCAUGCCAUUAGUGGGUCAACAGGGUAGGCAUUUUCAUGAGAUAAUAUUGAUUUUAAUGACGGCUAAUAAUUACACUGCUGCCUUGUUUCAGAAUCAAAACUCUGCUAUCUCUGGCCUUGCCUCUAGGGAAAAACAUGAGCUCAAAACUGAAAUACUCCAGAUUUACUUGCUAUCUUUUAGAAGUAAUAUUGUUCUAUUUGUUAAGGUUCACUUGGAAGUGGUUGAGGUAGCCUGACCUGAUGAGGAUUCAGCUGAGGAACUGACCUGGUGACGUGAUGCAUACAGGGCAGGAAGCAAAUCUUAUGCAUGAGGGAGUAGAUCUUGCAAUUGAAGUCAUAUCUCCUGCAGAGGAGGAGCAACGAUGGGGUGGAAGCUACAGGGUGAGUGAGAGAGUGCAGAAGGAGGGGAUGGAUAAGGUCAUGUCGUCAGCAAGAAGUGGAUGCUAUCAAGAUCAUGCCAAAGGCGAUGCUCAUUCCCGUUCUUAGUGAGAUGGGUUUACUCGAUGCAAAGUAUGAGCAUUGCAGACUCUGGCGAGCUGCUGAAGGUCGACGAGGAGGGCAACGCCGCCACCGUCAUCAGGCUGGUCCACAUCCACGCGCUGCUCGGCGUCACCAGGUCACUGGCACAACUCCGCAUGCCCAGGCUGUUCAACAUUUUCUUUCGCUUUUGGUGUGUCACAUUUAGAGUCUUUCUUUCCCAUUUUACCAUGUUUGCAUGGUAAGAUGUUUUGUUGGAUUUGAAGGUUCGUAGCCUUGGCUCCAAAGCUUCAAGCUCUUGCAUAAUAGUGUUGUUCAGUGGGAUGCAGAAUUUUUGUUUGUCUGAUCGGCUAUCCUUGGUGCUGAUUUACGUACUGAUUUCAUCAUCAUAUAUAACUACAAUAAAGAAGCUGUGUGCAUAAAUAUUACUAACUGCUGAUACUUUGCAUCAGUGAUUUCAAUUCUGUUGGCCCUCCUU